GUGCACGCUGGCGGUAGGCCUAACACAUGCCAGUCGAACGGCAGCACAGUAAGAGCUUGCUCUUACGGGUGGCGAGUGGCGGACGGGUGAGGAAUACAUCGGAAUCUACUUUUUCGUGGGGGAUAACGUAGGGAAACUUACGCUAAUACCGCAUACGACCUACGGGUGAAAGCAGGGGAUCUUCGGACCUUGCGCGAUUGAAUGAGCCGAUGUCGGAUUAGCUAGUUGGCGGGGUAAAGGCCCACCAAGGCGACGAUCCGUAGCUGGUCUGAGAGGAUGAUCAGCCACACUGGAACUGAGACACGGUCCAGACUCCUACGGGAGGCAGCAGUGGGGAAUAUUGGACAAUGGGCGCAAGCCUGAUCCAGCCAUACCGCGUGGGCGAAGAAGGCCCUCGGGUUGUAAAGCCCUUUUGUUGGGAAAGAAAAGCAGCAGGUUAAUACCCCGCUGUUCUGACGGUACCCAAAGAAUAAGCACCGGCUAACUUCGUG
Molecule: ribosomal RNA, 491 nt
Filed under: uncultured bacterium
Lineage: Bacteria
Description: partial 16S ribosomal RNA
Rfam family: Bacterial small subunit ribosomal RNA
Source: RNAcentral